UUAAAAGUGGCUGAAAAAGCAUUUAGUUGUUAUCUAAAAUAAUAAGAAAUAUUCUUCUUUUAAAG
This 65-nucleotide transfer RNA is filed under the name Hypsibius dujardini. RNAcentral describes it as "transfer RNA-Asn". The record is from RNAcentral. Lineage: Eukaryota; Metazoa; Tardigrada; Eutardigrada; Parachela; Hypsibiidae.